Molecule: ribosomal RNA, 269 nt
Filed under: uncultured bacterium
Lineage: Bacteria
Description: partial 16S ribosomal RNA
Rfam family: Bacterial small subunit ribosomal RNA
Source: RNAcentral
CGGCAAACAGAGGGAAGCGGACCGGUGACGGCGAGCGAAUCCCAAAAAGUGCGUCCCAGUUCGGAUUGUAGUCUGCAACUCGACUACAUGAAGCCGGAAUCGCUAGUAAUCGCGGAUCAGAAUGCCGCGGUGAAUACGUUCCCGGGUCUUGUACACACCGCCCGUCACACCAUGGGAGCCGGAAAUGCCCGAAGUCAGUGACCCAACCAAUAAGGAGGGAGCUGCCGAAGGCAGGUCUGGUGACUGGGGUGAAGUCGUAACAAGGUACC